Non-coding RNA from Salvelinus sp. IW2-2015, 242 nucleotides. NCBI's taxonomy places the organism in Eukaryota, Metazoa, Chordata, Actinopteri, Salmoniformes, Salmonidae. The record is from RefSeq and is a predicted model, not a curated record.
CCUCCUAUGACAUCAGUGUAUUCUAUACGACCCUUCUGCCAGAAGACAAGACUGAGAUACAGAAGAUCCACAAUGGAGAUGCAGAGAGGAGAGGCCAAGGCUCCUGCAGCAGCACUACCUGCUCUGAUCAGUGAUGGGCUAGCAGGAGGGCAGCUGUGGCCCCUCCCCAAGCUGUGGUCUGGUUCUGGAGGAUGAGAGGGGGGUGUGUGGUUAUGCCCUGGGCCUUACUGACGCCACAGGAG